CAAUAGCGUAUAUUAAAGUUGUUGCAGUUAAAAAGCUCGUAGUCGGAUUUCUGGCUCGGAAGGGCGGUCCGUUUGGCCUAGCCAAAUGUGAACUAGCAUUUUCCAGCCAUCCUCGUGGAGAGCUGUCAUGUGGCAGCCGUCACUGGCAUGCGAUCCACGUCCUUUACUGUGAACAAAUUAGAGUGUUCAAAGCAGGCUUACGCCACUGAAUACAUUAGCAUGGAAUAAUCCUAUAGGACUUUGGUGAUUCUAUUGUUGGUUACGCACCAGAGUAAUGAUUAAUAGGGAUAGUUGGGGGUAUUCGUAUUCAAUUGUCAGAGGUGAAAUUCUUGGAUUUAUGGAAGACGAACAACUGCGAAAGCAUUUACCAAGGAUGUUUUCAUUGA
Molecule: ribosomal RNA, 386 nt
Filed under: uncultured eukaryote
Lineage: Eukaryota
Description: partial 18S ribosomal RNA
Rfam family: Eukaryotic small subunit ribosomal RNA
Source: RNAcentral